CGGUAAUACCAGCUCUCCGAGUAGUAGGGACGAUUAUUGGGCUUAAAGCGUCCGUAGCCGGCUUAGCAAGUCUUCUGUUAAAUUCAGCGACCUAAUCGUUGAGCCGCGGGAGAUACUACUAGGCUAGGAGGCGGGAGAGGCCGACGGUAUUCCCGGGGUAGGGGUGAAAUCCUAUAAUCCCGGGAGGACCACCAGUGGCGAAGGCUGUCGGCUAGAACGCGCUCGACGGUGAGGGACGAAAGCUGGGGGAGCGAACCGGAUUAGAUACCCGGGUAGUCCCAGCUGUAAACGAUGCGGGCUAGGUGUUGAGGUGGCUACGAGCCACUUCAGUGCCGCAGGGAAGCCAUUAAGCCCGCCGCCUGGGGAGUACGGCCGCAAGGCUGAAACUUAAAGGAAUUGGCG
Molecule: ribosomal RNA, 402 nt
Filed under: uncultured archaeon
Lineage: Archaea
Description: bacterial SSU rRNA
Rfam family: Archaeal small subunit ribosomal RNA
Source: RNAcentral